This 764-nucleotide long non-coding RNA is filed under the name Cavia porcellus (domestic guinea pig). RNAcentral's name for it is "lncRNA (ENSCPOG00000034381.1)". Lineage: Eukaryota; Metazoa; Chordata; Mammalia; Rodentia; Caviidae. The record is from RNAcentral.
CCCAGGCUCACAGUGUUAUUUGUGAAAAUGGCCAGCAUGAGGAAUUAUUAAUUAAAGCUAACAAAUCACCCUGACGAGCUGGGCCCUGGCAUGGCUGAAGGUUGAUUGGCGAAAGUGUUCUCCUUUGGAGAAAAGACUUUUUGUGCUCGUGACGCAGUCAGGGACGGAUUAUUGAAUAUGCAAGUUAGAAGAAAAAUCACAGGACAAGCAAAUUGAGUAUUUACUGGCAAAUAAUUGCUCUCUUAAGCUGUGGCUCUCUUCCUAAAAUUCUUAACAUUCCCGAGGGUUAGAAAGAAACUCAGAAAAAUGCAUCGAUACAGAGUACAUUUCAAAAAAAAUACAUAGACUGAUGUUUCAGACUUGUGCAGAAUGUGUUGCCAUCAAUAACUCGAUAUUCCUCACAACAUUGCUGGCUGAGUUUUCUGUGGAAAAGCAGGAAAAGAGAAGUGGAGGAGGAAGGACUCCCUCCAUACCCUGUGCUAAACCUACCAGGUGUCACUGUUUCAGUGGGAGUCUGGAAAGAAACUGUCAGAGGACACAUCUGAACCUUGUUCCUUGACCAUCAGAUUGUCAGCUACCCCUUCUCUUUAUAUGCCGCAGCUCUCUGUUCCCUGCCCCAAUGAACAUCUGCACUAGGCCCAAGCCUUGGAGUGACUUACCUGAAGAGUGACACCAUUUAUUUGGAAACUACUGUAAGUACAUUAUGCCUCCAAUGAAAAGCUCCUUAGUUCACUUCGUUUAGUUAAAAAAAAAAAUACACAGAC